Molecule: long non-coding RNA, 1802 nt
Organism: Vigna radiata var. radiata (mung bean)
Lineage: Eukaryota; Viridiplantae; Streptophyta; Magnoliopsida; Fabales; Fabaceae
Exons: 2
Source: RefSeq, a predicted model, not a curated record
UUUUAUUAUUAUUUGUUUUUUUUUUUUUGAAAAAAAGAAAUGGUCCGGCCCAAUAACUCUAAACCUAGAUUUUCCUCUCAGCAGCAAGGGGUUCAAACCUCUCCACCUCAUUUCUCGCUCACUCAACUCAAACACUCUAGGAGCUCAGACACUCAUCCUCUUCGAACCAAGCUGGGUCUGGAGCUCGCGCACCACCAUCUCCAUCUGACAACCACCGCAUUGCCCACGCCGGACGUCAUCCCCUGAAGCCACCACUGGAGCCACCGCCAGCUAUCACUUCUUCGAAUCCAGCCACUGCGACGGCCCCCGGCUCCGUCCAAACCGUCACUGGCGACAGUAGACGCCAUCGGAACCAGUCGCUGGCCAAGACAUCACUGUCGUUCACCGCCGGCGGCCUUUCCAGCCAAAACGCUGGACCUUCUCUUCCCCCUCUCUUUUCGUUUGUCGACAGGGAGACCCUUUCCCUCGACCAGCUGCCGUGACGUCGUUCAAGCUUGAUCAGAGGUUCUGCCGGCGACGCGGGUCGCCACUGCAAGGAUGUUUUCGUUUCAGCCACCACUCGAACAGCCACCGUGCCGCUGCCCAAGCCAUCGCCAGCGCCGCUGCUCAAGCCGUCGCCAGCUCUACCGUCAAUCCAACUAUUCCUUUUUUCUUCUUCGCGUGAGGAAGAAACACCACCCUUUCAAGAACGAUGAUGGCCGCCGCAGGUCGCAGGUCAAGGCACCGCCAACACCCACUGGUCGCCGCGUCGUUGCCCACGUUAGAGGAAACCGUCGGCUACGGCGUCAGGUUCUCUCCUCCUCUCUUCAUUCCGCGCACUGUCCGAAGUUCUCACCGGUGCCCGCGGCAUCACAGAGACCAACCAACAGAGCUCUUUCCCUCUCUUCUUAACUUGUCAAGUAUUCUCGGUGCUCAUGCUUAUUGGGUUUCAUUUUGUGUUGGGGUUAAUUGAUUUGGAACGCACAACUUAGUGUAAGGGAAGGUAAAGAUGUUUUCAAUGAACUGAUUUCUUGAAUAGCAUUUCCUCUUGUUGUUGUGGUUAUGGUCGAUGACCGUGAGAACUUGGCUUAUGGCUUGUUGGAAUCGGAAUUAGAUUGGGGAAAUCUGUUUAAUUUUGUGUUUUGUUGUUCCUUUUCUGGGUGCUGAUUGAAGAAGCUAUGGUGUUGUGAUGUUUAGGGGUCAUAUUGGGUUUGCUUGGUAUCUUCUGUUUUCCUUUUUUUUGUUUGAUGCAGGAGAGCUAGGAGCAGGGGUGACAAGGAGGACGAGAAUGAGGAUAUUGUAGGCAAAACCAUGUAUGGGAAGUCAAAGGGUGAAUACGGGAGGAUGAUGGUGAAGCUGGGCGAGGGUAAAGAUUACCAAUACAAGACAAGAAUGUGGCUAGAGGUUUUAGGUUAUAGAAGAAAUGGCGGAAGGGAAAUAUUCGUACAACAAUACAUACUCAAACAGGGCAGCAAUCAAGCAUAAAGCAACGUACAAUGCAGUUAUAUUAAAUGAUGAUUCAAGAUGAGGGACGCUGAUGCUGAAGGUCCAAGAAUCAAGAGCUCUCCCUUAAGCUGUGAUGGUUCGGCGUUGGUGGUGAGUCUCCCUGGUUCAAGCCGCGUUCGUGAGAUCCUGCCCGAGGAUCAUGAUCCCUCCUCAGUGUUAUGAUAUCCCCCUUGUUGUCUUCUUGUGUUCUUUUUCUAUUCUCCUGUUGUGACUGUGCACUGCUAGGGUUUUUAUUUUCAAUCCCUCAUAGUGAGGUCUUUUCGUGAAUCAUGUAUCUUUUUUUUUAACCAUGAAACUUGAUCCUCUCUUUUCCUUCU